AGUCGAAACGAGAAGGGGAGCAAUCCCUGAGUACAGUGGCGUACGGGUGAGUAACACGUGGAUGAUCUACCUUCUGGUGAGGAAUAACCCUGGGGAACCGGAGCUAAUACCGCAUAAGCUCGAGAGAGGAAAGCAGCAAUGCGCCGGAAGAGGAGUCCGCGGCCGAUUAGCUAGUUGGCAGGGUAAAAGCCUACCAAGGCGAAGAUCGGUAGCCGGCCUGAGAGGGCACACGGCCACACUGGCACUGAAACACGGGCCAGACUCCUACGGGAGGCAGCAGUGGGGAAUCUUGCACAAUGGGGGAAACCCUGAUGCAGCGACGCCGCGUGAGCGAUGAAGCCCUUCGGGGUGUAAAGCUCUUUCGGCAGGGAAGAUGAUGACGGUACCUGCAGAAGCAGCUGCGGCUAACUACGUGCCAGCAGCCGCGGUAAUACGUAGGCAGCAAGCGUUGUUCGGAGUUACUGGGCGUAAAGGGUGUGUAGGCGGUUGUUUAAGUUUGGUGUGAAAUCUCCCGGCUCAACUGGGAGGGUGCGCCGAAUACUGAAUGACUCGAGUGCGGGAGAGGAGAGUGGAAUUCCUGGUGUAGCGGUGAAAUGCGUAGAUAUCAGGAGGAACACCGGUGGUGUAGACGGCUCUCUGGACCGUAACUGACGCUGAGACACGAAAGCGUGGGUAGCAAACAGGAUUAGAUACCCUGGUAGUCCACGCCCUAAACGAUGCAUAUUUG
Molecule: ribosomal RNA, 727 nt
Filed under: uncultured bacterium
Lineage: Bacteria
Description: bacterial SSU rRNA
Rfam family: Bacterial small subunit ribosomal RNA
Source: RNAcentral